CUGGCGGCGUGCCUAAUACAUGCAAGUUCGAACGGAGAAUAAGUAGCUUCGCUAUUUAAUCUUAGCGGCGCACGGGCGAGUAAUAUAUAGCUAAUCUGCCCUACACUAGAGGAACAACAGUUCGGAAACGACCGCUAAUACUCUAUACUCCUUCUUUACAUAAGUUUAAGUCGGGAAAGUUUUUUCGGUGUAGGAUGAGGCUAUAUCGUAUCAGCUAGUUUGGUAGGGUAACGGCCUACCAAGGCUAUGACGCGUAACUGGUCUGAGAGGAUGAUCAGUCACACUGGAACUGAGACACGGUCCAGACUCCUACGGGAGGCAGCAGUAGGGAAUAUUGCUCAAUGGGGGAAACCCUGAAGCAGCAACGCCGCGUGGAGGAUGACACUUUUCGGAGCGUAAACUCCUUUUCUUGGGAAAGAAUUAUGACGGUACCCAAGGAAUAAGCACCGGCUAACUCCGUGCCAGCAGCCGCGGUAAUACGGAGGGUGCAAGCGUUACUCGGAAUCACUGGGCGUAAAGGACGCGUAGGCGGAUUAUCAAGUCUCUUGUGAAAUCUAACGGCUUAACCGUUAAACUGCUUGGGAAACUGAUAAUCUAGAGUAAGGGAGAGGCAGAUGGAAUUCUUGGUGUAGGGGUAAAAUCCGUAGAGAUCAAGAAGAAUACCCAUUGCGAAAGCGAUCUGCUGGAACUUAACUGACGCUAAUGCGUGAAAGCGUGGGGAGCAAACAGGAUUAGAUACCCUGGUAGUCCACGCCCUAAACGAUGUAUACUAGUUGUUGCUUCGCUAGUCGAGGCAGUAAUGCACCUAACGGAUUAAGUAUACCGCCUGGGGAGUACGGUCGCAAGAUUAAAACUCAAAGGAAUAGACGGGGACCCGCACAAGCGGUGGAGCAUGUGGUUUAAUUCGAAGAUACGCGAAGAACCUUACCCGGACUUGAUAUCUAACAAAUCAUCCAGAGAUGGAAGAGUGUCUGCUUGCAGAAAUGUUAAGACAGGUGCUGCACGGCUGUCGUCAGCUCGUGUCGUGAGAUGUUGGGUUAAGUCCCGCAACGAGCGCAACCCACGUCAUUAGUUGCUAACGGUUCGGCCGAGCACUCUAAUGAGACUGCCUUCGUAAGGAGGAGGAAGGUGUGGACGACGUCAAGUCAUCAUGGCCCUUAUGUCCGGGGCGACACACGUGCUACAAUGGCGUAUACAAUAAGACGCAAUAUCGCGAGAUGGAGCAAAUCUAUAAAAUACGUCCCAGUUCGGAUUGGAGUCUGCAACUCGACUCCAUGAAGCCGGAAUCGCUAGUAAUCGUAGAUCAGCCAUGCUACGGUGAAUACGUUCCCGGGUCUUGUACACACCGCCCGUC
This 1354-nucleotide ribosomal RNA is filed under the name uncultured bacterium. RNAcentral describes it as "16S ribosomal RNA". It matches the Rfam family "Bacterial small subunit ribosomal RNA", at positions 36 to 1398 of the family's 1533-position model. The record is from RNAcentral.